AAGUUGCCUCUUAAUUAGAGGCUAGAAUCAACGAACUAACGCGAGCCCCCCUGUCUCUCUUAUGCCCCCAAAACUUAACCUUUAGGUGAAAAUGCCUAAAUACAACUAAUAGACAAGAAGACCCUAUCGAGCUUCAUUGCAAAUUAUCAAGAGGCCAACUUGCUCACCCCUCCUUCAUAAAGUCGCAAUUUUGUUGGGGCAACAAAGGACCAUCUAAACCUUCCUUAAAUACCUUUAAUAACAAUAACAACGAGCCAAUAAAACGAUCUUAGGAUAAAUGCUACCGUAGGGAUAACAGGUUAAUUUUUCUCGAGAGCCCACAUUAACAGAAAAGUUUG
This 338-nucleotide ribosomal RNA is filed under the name Amphinomidae sp. RG-2014. Its description in RNAcentral is "partial 16S ribosomal RNA". It matches the Rfam family "Bacterial large subunit ribosomal RNA", at positions 1966 to 2520 of the family's 2925-position model. The record is from RNAcentral. Lineage: Eukaryota; Metazoa; Annelida; Polychaeta; Eunicida; Amphinomidae.